RNAcentral lists this ribosomal RNA (492 nucleotides) under uncultured bacterium. RNAcentral describes it as "partial 16S ribosomal RNA". It matches the Rfam family "Bacterial small subunit ribosomal RNA", at positions 29 to 507 of the family's 1533-position model. The record is from RNAcentral.
AGUGAACGCUGGCGGUAGGCCUAACACAUGCAAGUCGAACGGCAGCACAGUAAGAGCUUGCUCUUACGGGUGGCGAGUGGCGGACGGGUGAGGAAUACAUCGGAAUCUACUUUUUCGUGGGGGAUAACGUAGGGAAACUUACGCUAAUACCGCAUACGACCUACGGGUGAAAGCAGGGGAUCUUCGGACCUUGCGCGAUUGAAUGAGCCGAUGUCGGAUUAGCUAGUUGGCGGGGUAAAGGCCCACCAAGGCGACGAUCCGUAGCUGGUCUGAGAGGAUGAUCAGCCACACUGGAACUGAGACACGGUCCAGACUCCUACGGGAGGCAGCAGUGGGGAAUAUUGCACAAUGGGCGAAAGCCUGAUCCAGCCAUACCGCGUGAGUGAAGAAGGCCUUCGGGUUGUAAAGCCCUUUUGUUGGGAAAGAAAAGCAGCAGGUUAAUACCCCGCUGUUCUGACGGUACCCAAAGAAUAAGCACCGGCUAACUUCGUG